RNAcentral lists this unclassified non-coding RNA (344 nucleotides) under Hevea brasiliensis (rubber tree). The record is from RNAcentral. Lineage: Eukaryota; Viridiplantae; Streptophyta; Magnoliopsida; Malpighiales; Euphorbiaceae.
AUGAGUUUAGACACAAGACCCAGUUCGAUUGGUGGCCAGAUCGGCCAAAUUUUGGCCGGGAAGACGAACGGUCGCACGCGCGUGCGCGUCGCUUCAGGAGCCUUUUCCGGCGUUCAAGGCGGUGGCCGGCCGUGGGGGAGGAGUGAGGCGGUGCGCCGGCGAGCUGGGGUGGCAGGGGAGGUGGCGGUGCAACAAGGGGAGUAGGGAGGAAAGAGAAAAAGGGAGGGAGGUCGGGACGCGCGCGGGGAGGAGAAAGAAAAGGAAGAAGACCGGUCCGAUUCGACCUGUCCGAUCCGGUCCGGUUUGAUUCGUCCGGUUCAAUUCAGAAUACAAAAUUUUGAAUU